This 424-nucleotide ribosomal RNA is filed under the name uncultured bacterium. RNAcentral describes it as "bacterial SSU rRNA". It matches the Rfam family "Bacterial small subunit ribosomal RNA", at positions 355 to 776 of the family's 1533-position model. The record is from RNAcentral.
UGAGGAAUAUUGGUCAAUGGACGAAAGUCUGAACCAGCCAUGCCGCGUGAAGGAUGACUGCCCUAUGGGUUGUAAACUUCUUUUAUAUGGGAAUAAACGCAGGUACGUGUACCUGCCUGAAUGUACCAUACGAAUAAGGAUCGGCUAACUCCGUGCCAGCAGCCGCGGUAAUACGGAGGAUCCAAGCGUUAUCCGGAUUUAUUGGGUUUAAAGGGUGCGUAGGCGGACUAAUAAGUUAGUGGUGAAAGCCCGGGGCUCAACUCCGGAACUGCCAUUGAUACUGUUAGUCUUGAGUCAACUUGAAGUGGGCGGAAUAAGGCAUGUAGCGGUGAAAUGCAUAGAUAUGCCUUAGAACACCGAUUGCGUAGGCAGCUCACUAAAUUUGUACUGACGCUGAGGCACGAAAGCGUGGGGAGCGAACAGG